AGGAUGAACGCUGGCGGCGUGCCUAACACAUGCAAGUCGAACGUCCUGUCUCGCAAGAGGCAGGGAGUGGCGGACGGGUGAGUACCACGUGGGUCAUCUACCGUGAGGUGAGGAAUACCGGCGAGAAAUCGCCGACAAGACCGCAUAGGCUCGAUGCAAGUCGAGCAAAGCUCUUUCGAGAGAGGGAGCGCCACACGAGGAGCCUGCGCCCGAUUAGCUAGCUGGUGGAGUAACGGUUCACCAGGGCGACGAUCGGUAGCUGGUCUGAGAGGACGAUCAGCCACACUGGGAUUGAGAACGGCCCAGACUCCUACGGGGGCAGCAGUGAGGAAUUUCGUCAAUGGGGGCAACCCUGAACGAGCAACGCCGCGUGCAGGAAGAAGGUUUCGGAUCGUAAACUGCUUUUCUCGGGGAAGAGAACGGACGGUACCCGAGGAAUCAGCCCCGGCUAACUACGUGCCAGCAGCCGCGGU
This 473-nucleotide ribosomal RNA is filed under the name uncultured bacterium. RNAcentral's name for it is "SSU rRNA". It matches the Rfam family "Bacterial small subunit ribosomal RNA", at positions 26 to 521 of the family's 1533-position model. The record is from RNAcentral.